GUUUAAGGAGGGUAUUUGUCGCGCUCUCGUCCGAUCUCGUCCGAUCUCGGAAGCCAACCAGGGUCGGGCCUGGUUAGUACUUGGAUGGGAGACCGCCUGGGAAUACCAGGUGCUGUAAGCU
RNAcentral lists this ribosomal RNA (121 nucleotides) under Seriola lalandi dorsalis. Lineage: Eukaryota; Metazoa; Chordata; Actinopteri; Carangiformes; Carangidae. The record is from RNAcentral.